RNAcentral lists this ribosomal RNA (318 nucleotides) under uncultured Prevotella sp. Its description in RNAcentral is "bacterial SSU rRNA". It matches the Rfam family "Bacterial small subunit ribosomal RNA", at positions 355 to 670 of the family's 1533-position model. Lineage: Bacteria; Pseudomonadati; Bacteroidota; Bacteroidia; Bacteroidales; Prevotellaceae. The record is from RNAcentral.
UGAGGAAUAUUGGUCAAUGGACGCAAGUCUGAACCAGCCAAGUAGCGUGCAGGAUGACGGCCCUAUGGGUUGUAAACUGCUUUUAUGCGGGGAUAAAGUGUGCCAUGUAUGGCAUUUUGUAGGUACCGCAUGAAUAAGGACCGGCUAAUUCCGUGCCAGCAGCCGCGGUAAUACGGAAGGUCCGGGCGUUAUCCGGAUUUAUUGGGUUUAAAGGGAGCGUAGGCCGUCGUUUAAGCGUGUUGUGAAAUGCCGCGGCUCAACCGUGGCACUGCAGCGCGAACUGGAUGACUUGAGUUCGCGGGAGGUAGGCGGAAUUCG